This 497-nucleotide ribosomal RNA is filed under the name uncultured bacterium. RNAcentral's name for it is "partial 16S ribosomal RNA". It matches the Rfam family "Bacterial small subunit ribosomal RNA", at positions 28 to 507 of the family's 1533-position model. The record is from RNAcentral.
GAUGAACGCUGGCGGCGUGCCUAAUACAUGCCAGUCGAGCGAACGGACGAGAAGCUUGCUUCUCUGAUGUUAGCGGCUGACGGGUGAGUAACACGUGGAUAACCUACCUAUAAGACUUGGAUAACUUCGGGAAACCGGAGCUAAUACCGGAUGAUAUUUUGAACCGCAUGGUUCAAAAGUGAAAGACGGUCUUGCUGUCACUUAUAGAUGGAUCCGCGCUGCAUUAGCUAGUUGGUAAGGUAACGGCUUACCAAGGCAACGAUGCAUAGCCGACCUGGGAGGGUGAUCGGCCACACUGGAGCUGAGACACGGUCCAGACUCCUACGAGAGGCAGCAGUAGGGAAUCUUCCGCAAUGGGCGAAAGAAUGACGGAGCAACGCCGCGUGAGUGAUGAAGGUCUUCGGAUCGUAAAACUCUGUUAUUAGGGAAGAACAGAUGUGUAAGUAACUGUGCACAUCUUGACGGUACCUAAUCAGAAAGCCACGGCUAACUACGUG